RNAcentral lists this ribosomal RNA (497 nucleotides) under uncultured bacterium. RNAcentral describes it as "partial 16S ribosomal RNA". It matches the Rfam family "Bacterial small subunit ribosomal RNA", at positions 28 to 507 of the family's 1533-position model. The record is from RNAcentral.
GAUGAACGCUGGCGGCGUGCCUAAUACAUGCAAGUCGAGCGAACAGACGAGGAGCUUGCUCCUCUGACGUUAGCGGCGGACGGGUGAGUAACACGUGGAUAACCUACCUAUAAGACUGGGAUAACUUCGGGAAACCGGAGCUAAUACCGGAUAAUAUAUUGAACCGCAUGGUUCAAUAGUGAAAGACGGUUUUGCUGUCACUUAUAGAUGGAUCCGCGCCGCAUUAGCUAGUUGGUAAGGUAACGGCUUACCAAGGCAACGAUGCGUAGCCGACCUGAGAGGGUGAUCGGCCACACUGGAACUGAGACACGGUCCAGACUCAUACGGGAGGCAGCAGUAGGGAAUCUUCCGCAAUGGGCGAAAGCCUGACGGGGCAACGCCGCGUGAGUGAUGAAGGUCUUCGGAUCGUAAAACUCUGUUAUUAGGGAAGAACAAAUGUGUAAGUAACUAUGCACGUCUUGACGGUACCUAAUCAGAAAGCCACGGCUAACUACGUG